GAGUUUGAUCCUGGCUCAGGAUGAACGCUGGCGGUAUGCUUUACACAUGCAAGUCGUACGAGAGUUUUUAACUCAAGUGGCGGACGGGUGAGUAACACGUAAGAAUUUGCCUUUAGGAGGGGGACAACAACUGGAAACGGUUGCUAAUACCCCAUAUGCUUUCGAGUGAAAUGGAUUUUUCCGCCUAGAGAGAAGCUUGCGGCUGAUUAGCUUGUUGGUGAGGUAAUGGCUCACCAAGGCGACGAUCAGUAUCUGGUUUGAGAGGACGAUCAGACACACUGGAACUGAGACACGGUCCAGACUCCUACGGGAGGCAGCAGUGGGGAAUUUUCCGCAAUGGGCGAAAGCCUGACGGAGCAAUACCGCGUGAGGGAUGACGGCCUAUGGGUUGUAAACCUCUUUUUUCAGGGAGGAAUAAAAUGACGUGUACCUGAAGAAUAAGCAUCGGCUAACUCCGUGCCAGCAGCCGCGGUAAGACGGAGGAUGCAAGUGUUAUCCGGAAUCACUGGGCGUAAAGCGUCUGUAGGUGGUCCAAUAAGUCAACUGUUAAAUCU
RNAcentral lists this ribosomal RNA (554 nucleotides) under uncultured bacterium. RNAcentral's name for it is "bacterial SSU rRNA". It matches the Rfam family "Bacterial small subunit ribosomal RNA", at positions 9 to 602 of the family's 1533-position model. The record is from RNAcentral.